RNAcentral lists this ribosomal RNA (468 nucleotides) under uncultured bacterium. Its description in RNAcentral is "partial 16S ribosomal RNA". It matches the Rfam family "Bacterial small subunit ribosomal RNA", at positions 28 to 507 of the family's 1533-position model. The record is from RNAcentral.
GACGAACGCUGGCGGCGUGCUUAACACGUGCAAGUCGAACGGAAAGGCCCUGCUCUUGUGGGGUGCUCGAGUGGCGAAGGGGUGAGUAACACGUGAGUAUCAUGCCCUUGACUUUGGGAUAACUUCAGGAAACUGGGGCUAAUACCGGAUAGGAGCUCCUGCAGCAUGGUGGGGGUUGGAAAGUUUCGGCGGUUGGGGAUGGACUCGAGGCUUAUCCGCUUGUUGGUGGGGUAGUGGCUUACCAAGGCUUUGACGGGUAGCCGGCCUGGGAGGGUGACCGGCCACAUUAGGACUGAGAUACGGCCCAGUCGCCUACGGGAGGCAGCAGUGGGAAAUAUUGCACAAUGGGCGGGAGCCUGAUGCAGCAACGCCGCGUGCGGGAUGACGGCCUUCGGGUGGUAAACCGCUGUCGCCUGUGACGAAGCGUGAGUGACGGUAAUGGGUAAAGAAGCACCGGCUAACUACGUG